This is a long non-coding RNA of Serinus canaria (Common canary), 494 nucleotides long. RefSeq lists it as uncharacterized. Lineage: Eukaryota; Metazoa; Chordata; Aves; Passeriformes; Fringillidae. The record is from RefSeq and is a predicted model, not a curated record. The transcript is spliced from 4 exons.
GGGGGUUUGGGGUCACUGGUUUGUACUGGGAAUGGACUGGGAGGGGGUUUGGGGUCACUGGUUUGUACUGGUUUGGACUGGGAGGGGGUUUGGGGUCACUGGUCCAUACUGGCUUGUACUGGUUUGUACUGGUCCAUACUGGUUUAUACUGGUCCAUACUGGUUUAUACUGGUUUAUACUGGUUCCAGGUGCGUCACGUGGCCACGGCCGCUCUCCUCUGGGCACUGGUCCAUACUGGUUUAUACUGGUUUAUACUGGUUUCUAUGGGUUUUACUGGUCCAUACUGGUUUAUACUGGUCCAUACUGGUCCGUACUGGUUUAUACUGGUCUGUACUGGUUUCCAGGUGCGUCACGUGGCCACGGCCGCUCUCCUCUGGGCACUGGUCCAUACUGGUUUAUACUGGUUUAUACUGGUUUCUAUGGGUUUUACUGGUCCAUACUGGUUUAUACUGGUCCAUACUGGUCCGUACUGGUUUAUACUGGUCUGUACUGGU